CUACAAUAAAGUUGAAGCUGCAUGAACUCAUAUUGAGUGUCAAGCUUCCCGUGCUACAGGAGGGUAGCCCUGGGGAACGUGGGGAGUUUCCCAACAUUUGGCUCCCGAACAAGGACCAAUGCGUAGCAUUUAUAAGGGUUGAUUAAGUAGGGACCCUACCUGGGUGGUGUGUGGUGACGGACUGCAUUUUCCUCCGUUGCAUUGUUGGCAGCGGAGAAGCCUUUUUGGCUUGCCAGGGGUAGCGGAUCCGGGGGCGGUUAAAGUCGUCGGCCGACGCGGUGCUCUCUUUGGCGGUCGCUGGAUUACGACGCGAGGAUGGAGCGGGAGCGAGGAAGGAAAAGUCCUCCUUCACCUCUUCAAAUUCAGUGAAAGAAGAAAUCGGGGCAGUUGAAGAAACAUCUUUUUUUGUGGGUUGCCUUCCUGUUGGAAAGGUCAGGCAGUUUAACAGCUCUCCCACCAUCUCCUGCUGUCAUUCCUCCUUAGGUGCUUCUUGCCUGUGAGGAGGAGGAAGGAGGGAAUGCAGAAGAAAGAAUGUGAUUUGGAAGGAGAAUUUAGAAGCAUGGGAAGGUUUCCCAGAAAUCCACUGCUUCAGACAUACCCCCUCCGCCCUCUAUUCUGUGGCACCAGGCAGCUCUCACUGUGUACCCUGUCUGUAGGCAGCUGAAGGGUUUUUGACACUUCAAAGAGGAGACAUAGCCUGGCUGGAGUCAUGUUAAGGAAAGUCAGUUUUAGGGGUGGGGUGAGACAUCUGCCUCUUCCACAGAUUUAUGGCUGCAGUGGAUGCUCCUGUCAUCCCUCACUGUGCACCUGCAGCUCCAGUCACUUCUCCACUGUUGUUAUUUCCAAACAAUAAUGGAUUUCAUCUGUCUCCUGGUGCAGUCUGGGGUUCCUCCAGGUGCACGCUCUGGCUCAUGAGAUAUCCUCUGGCCGAGAAUGGCCCUCUGCCUGCAGCCUGGACAUGUUUGUUUAAGAAGGACCUGCCAAGAAUAUAUAUUGUUUCGUAUUGCUGGUGUUUUUAUGUUGCAGAUAGCAGUAGAUAGCAUAGGCAAUGUUUUUAUUUGUGCUGCAAAGGUGGACAAACAGAUGGAGAGCCAAGGCCUGGCUAUUGCAGGGGUUGCUGAGGAAGAGGGAUUCUUAGCAAACUGAAGAUGGAAUUCCUACAGGUGGGUCUAUUGUCCUCAGAUCUUCCAGAUUCAACUGGAAUGUGAAUUCUGGAGCUAAGGGCUUGCACCAGCACGGCUCAUAUGUACCUGGAUACAGUUUGGGGUUAAUGUAGUACUUGCCACCUGGUGAGGGUUGCAAGGCUGUUCUGGAGCUUGCUGGUUAAAGCUGUUGAACUUGAAAUGAAAUCCAGACUACAGCGAAGCCUUUCACUUGUUUGGUCAGGGCCAGGACUGCCCUGUGUCACAGGUCAGCCUUCAGCAUAUGCCCAGAUAAAGCCACAGUGUUCCCAGAGGGGUGAUUUAUUGCCCUAGCCAUCCCGUGAUGGAGCACUUGCUACUGAGUUCUGUGAUUAGUGGAAGGGCAACAGAUCCUUAGGUACUCUGAUAAAUCUGCCACUUUCUACAUAGUCCUUCUAACUCAUAUUAUCUUUUGCUUUGUAAAGCUAUUUGUUUGCCACUGGCUGUGAGGGAUUGCUCCCAUCACCCAUUAAAGGAUUUAGCACCAGGACUCCAGGAAUCCCAGGUUCAGAGUAGGCUGGAGGUAAGCACUAAACUGAACAGCUUAGGAUAAUUAUGAUUGGAGAAGACCACUAAGAUUAUUGAGUCCAACCACUAAUCUACCCUCGCCAUGCCCACUAACCAUGUCCCUCAGUGCCACGUCUCCAUGUUUCUUGAACACCUUCUGAGUGACUCCACGACCUCGCUGGCAGUCUAUGCCAAUGCCUUAUCACUGUUUUGGAGAAGAAAUGUUUCCUAAUAUCCAAUCUGAACUUCCACUGGUGCAACUUGAGGCCAUUACCUCUCAUCCUUUCAUCCUACCUUCACCAUGCAUCCAUCUUCACAAACAGAACAAAGGAAAGGAGGCAAUCUGGCAGCUCUGCAGAAUUCAACAAUCUGUUAAGACCUUGUUAGGGAAAUAUAUUAGAAAUGCAAAAUACAAGGCAAAUCUUUUUUCCUUACUGCUGCGGCCAGAUGGUUAGUGCACAGAUAGAGGAAGACAAAUCUGAGAUUUAGGACAAAAUGACCACUUGCCCUGGAUUUUGUAACACAGUUAAAAUCUUGUCUUCAUACAUAUGCUAUAGUGCGUUGCAUAAACCCUGGAGAGUAGUUCUGCUCCUGCUGCAUGGGAAAACCAGAUAAUAAACAAGCUAACUGGGCUGGAUCCAUCUAAGUGUUGCUCAGUAAUCUGCAGGAGACUCUCAGUGCAUCAAAGGCUGAAGAACAUUAGAGCAACAGUUAGGCUUUCAAAUAUCUUUAAAAAUAGAAUUUGAAGUGCCUGGUUAUUUGUUUAGUGUUGGGGUUCAGACUCUCCGAAAUCAUGCUAGCAAAAAUUUCUAUUUUAUGUGUGUGUUUAGAUACUGUCACAUAUGCAGACUUGUACUUGAACCGUGGCAGAGGAGACAGCAGUGAGCUGUACAGCCAGGGGUACAAUGCUGUGACCUGCUGAUUCCCUGUGGCUGGGCUGGGGGAUGAUGGAUCCUCUGUGCUCAUUGGUUUUCCCUCUGGAUGCACAGUAUCUGACCCAAGCAGUGCUGUCAUCUGCUGGAACAUGUCUCUUCACAGUGGCAGGCAGUGACUCUCCUUUUUCCACCUGCAAGAUGGCGCGUUUCAGAUGAAAUUGCUAUGCAUAGUGCAGGACAAAAUAUUUUUCCCAUUGUGUUGGAAUGCAUCUAGAGAAGGGAAACUGUGCUUCGGGUAUGAAAAAAAGGAAAUAACAAUGUAGGGCUGGCUGCAGUGCAGCAAGGGAAACAAAACACACCAGGAGAGGCAUCCUGAAGUAUGCUUCCUGCAUGUACUGAAUGCUUUAAAACAUGAUGCUUUUCCUUUCAAAAACAGUGAACCCACUGGCAUCACGAUCCCUUAUUUUUUUGGGUCGAGUGAUACAUUCCUGUCUUCAUAGGACACUUUGCUGCAGCUGAGAUGGCAUUCAGCUGUCGUUACUAUGACAAACAGAGAAGAACUGGCAUGUGAUGGGUUUGGAUGAAUAUGCAAUCAAGUUUUGUGAGAAAAAUAUCUAUAAAAAUGAAUCAGAUGCUGCCUUGCCAUCUACUGUGCACUCAGUGGUCCAUGGUACUGAAAAUCAGCAAUGUUUAUAAAGAUUUCAUGGGUCGGUAUAAAAACAUACUGCAUUUGACUAUGUAAUUUCAUAGGAUGUUUUUCAGCUUGUGUUCCUUUACAAGAAAAAAUUAAAAAAUCCUUUAUUGAUUAUUUAUUUUCAUGUAGAAAAUGUUUUCAGGCUCGCCAAAGAUGAGAACACAAUGUAAUAUUUGAUUAAAAUUCUUUAUUAUUGUAUCUUGUUUCUCCAAGAGGAAGAAUGUACUGUUAUUCCCAGAACUUGGUUAGAAUAGCAAACCCGUCUCCACAGGAUGACCCUGCAGCAAGCAUCUUCUUUCACAUGCCCAGACAUCGGUCAACACAAGGGGACUAAAACAGGACACACAGUGGGGCACGUGGCAUUAAAGACGAUUCUAAAGACAAUUCAUUAUUCUGUUACUCUUGGUGGUAAUAUUUUUGUUUCUUCCUCAGGAGGCCUCAAGCUGGAUGGCGGGCUGGGGGCACAGUAGGCACAUUCCUUACAUGAAAUAAAAUGCAGUCUCUGUCUAAAGAAUUGUUACUAAAGGAGAAAAUAUGCAGGGAAGAAGAGCUAAGGAUCCAUGAAAAGACACAGAAGUAUGAAGCAGGUUGACUGUGUGUACCUAGUGACAAAGUUCAAAUCUCCUAAAGGUUUUAAAGUAUCUGUUUGACUCGUAAGUGCCUAAAGUUAUCAGGCACUGUCAAAUGUCUAAUAGUUUGAUGGUGAUAGAACAAGGGGAAAUGGCUUUAAACUAAGAGAGGGGAGAUUUAAAUCAGAUGUUAGUGUGAAAUUCUUUACUCAGGAGGUGUUUCGGCACUGGCAUUGCUGCCUGGAGAGCUGUGGUGCCCCAUCCCUGGAGCUGCUCAAGGCUGGGUUGGAUGGGGCCCUGGGCAGCCUGAGCUGCUGGGGGGCAACCAGUCCAUGGCAGGAGGUUGGAACUGGAUGCACUUUCAGGUUUCUUCCAAUCUAAGCCAUUCUAUGAUUCUAUGAUACAUGACUUGGAAGUAUCUUUUGAUACUUGGUAUGGAUUCAGCAAGGAGAGUGUACUUCCUUUGCCUCUUGUCUCAUCAAAUCUCUAGCAGGGAAUCUGGACUCAGAUGCUUGCAUUCAGAGGGAUGUGGGGAGCCUGUCCACCCUGUGCACACUGCUGGCCUGCACAGCUGAGUGACGUCAACAAAAUCAGAAAGGAUAUAUGAUGAGAAUAUGCAGAUAGUAAAUGAGCUGUGAUGUAACCCUCUUUAUUAUUUUUCUAGAUUUCUUCACAAAGACUGUUCUCCAAGGAGGGAGACCUGAAUAUUAGUUUACCAGUCUCUGCCAUAGCUGCAUUCUCAAGACCAAAGACAUAUAUUUGGAUGUCUCACACCAUAACUAAUAAAUAAUCAGAGAAGCAUAGACUAUCCCAAGUUGGAAGGGAUCCACAAAGAUCACUGAGGCCAACUCCUGGUUGCACAAAAGACCACCCAAAAUCCAAACCCAGCGUCUGAGGGUGGUGUCCAAACAUCCCUUGAGCUCCAGCAGCUCGGGGCUGUGCCCACUGCCCUAGGCAGCCUGUUCCAUGCCCACCACUCUCUGGUGCAGGACCUUUCCCUGAUAUCCAAUCUGAACCUCUCCUGAAUUGCAAGCCCUUGUACAAAUUUGGACCUAUGUGUCUGAGAACAAAGCUUUAGUGAUGAAGCUGAUGUUUGCUCAGACUUUUCACACCUCGGUUGAGUGGCAAUGUGGAACAUUUAUAAUGCUUUUCUAUCUCGGGUUGUAGUCAAAGUGAUCUAAAAGUCAGUGAGUCUAACUACCAGCAGAGGAAGGAUGGAUGUUCUUGAUUAUUUUACAGUUAGCAGCUUUUAGUAAAUUGUUUUUGCAUUACAAGUUGUUUUUCUCUGCAUGUCUUCUGCAAAAUUACCUCUGAAACUUCCAGUGAUGAAGUAGAGAUCUGGUUUUUAGCAGAAACUGCCAAUUGCUAUUUGAUACUAGACAUUUUACUGCUCUUUCUGUGAGCAGUUAUGUUUGAACUGCAGCAGUCCAACCAUUGGUCAUAAUGAACAGUGUAGUUCAGGGAGGUAUUGCAUCUAGAACCCUUCACAGGCAACAGGUCUGGAUGACACGCAGUAAAAACUGAGUGGGUCAGCAUUUUGCAAACAGUUACUUAAAUGGAAUUUAGUGUGUAAGGAGUCAUCUCAGCGAUAGAAAAUAUUGAAGAAAUGUUACAUGGCGUUUUUACAAUGAGAAAAGUUGAAGGAAAAUUAUGGGUCCUUGAUUCCUCCAACAUUUUGGGCAUGUCAUCAGCUGCAUGAAUGGCUGUACCGCUAAGGGUAGGAAGUUUGACGGAUUGUGUGGCCCAGCACUUCAGAGCAGGAGACAAUGCUCCUUCCCGAUGGUUUAACAUCACCUGUAAUGUCUCCUACCAGUGACUGAGUAAUUACAAAUGCAAAGUUGCUUGUGUUAUCCAUUUGUGUUCAUCUGGAAGCAUAGGCAGCCUGUCGCUGCUGCAAUUGAUACCUGGAAUGAUGGGAAAGUGGCCACUGCUGCAUAAAUGAAGACUAUGUAAGUGGAAAAAGAAGAAACAGAAAAGGAGAGGAAAGCAUCCCUGGAAAAAGAUGUGAACCGCUGUAGCAAGGGAGGAAAAUCAGCUGCAGAAAUGAGCCUCAAGCAGAAAUCAAGGAAAAAAACAACUAGAGACAGCAAACAGAACAAACAUCCUAUGAAUGAUUUGGGUGCAUGAACUUAAGAGUGGAACCUACAUCAAGACCUGCAGUCUCCAGCUUCCUGAGACUUGUCCAGGGCAUGGGGCUGUGCAUUGCUGCCUGGUUUUGUACAGAUGUCUGUAUCCACAGCAGCUGGCACACUGCAAGGUCUGCUUUUCUCCUGGCUGCUGCUCAGUUGUGCCUACCUGUACUCAGCACCUUGGCAGUGCCCAUGUUUUGAAGAUUCCUGGACCAGGAGUCUUGAAAUAUUGCCAGGGUGCUGUCUGAAAUCACUGCCACUCAAAAAUAGAUGUAGUAAUAGUGAAUGGGUGA
Long non-coding RNA from Numida meleagris (helmeted guineafowl), 6248 nucleotides. RefSeq lists it as uncharacterized. NCBI's taxonomy places the organism in Eukaryota, Metazoa, Chordata, Aves, Galliformes, Numididae. The record is from RefSeq and is a predicted model, not a curated record. The transcript is spliced from 2 exons.